GACGAACGCUGGCGGCGUGCUUAACACAUGCAAGUCGAGCGGUAAGGCCCUUUCGGGGGUACGACGAGCGGCGAACGGGUGAGUAACACGUGGGUGACCUGCCCUCAGCUCUGGGAUAAGCCCGGGAAACUGGGUCUAAUACCGGAUAUGACUCCAUGACGCAUGUUGUGGGGUGGAAAGCCUUGUGCGGCUGAGGAUGGGCCCGCGGCCUAUCAGCUUGUUGGUGGGGUGAUGGCCUACCAAGGCGACGACGGGUAGCCGGCCUGAGAGGGCGACCGGCCACACUGGGACUGAGACACGGCCCAGACUCCUACGGGAGGCAGCAGUGGGGAAUCUUGCGCAAUGGGCGAAAGCCUGACGCAGCGACGCCGCGUGAGGGAUGACGGCCUGUGUAAC
This 396-nucleotide ribosomal RNA is filed under the name uncultured bacterium. RNAcentral's name for it is "bacterial SSU rRNA". It matches the Rfam family "Bacterial small subunit ribosomal RNA", at positions 28 to 429 of the family's 1533-position model. The record is from RNAcentral.